This 301-nucleotide ribosomal RNA is filed under the name uncultured bacterium. RNAcentral describes it as "partial 16S ribosomal RNA". It matches the Rfam family "Bacterial small subunit ribosomal RNA", at positions 509 to 807 of the family's 1533-position model. The record is from RNAcentral.
CAGCAGCCGCGGGAAUACGAAGGGGGCUAGCGUUGCUCGGAAUGACUGGGCGUAAAGGGCGCGUAGGCGGCGAUCAAAGUCAGGCGUGAAAUUCCUGGGCUCAACCUGGGGGCUGCGUUUGAUACUUGAUUGCUAGAGUGGGGAAGAGGGUCGUGGAAUUCCCAGUGUAGAGGUGAAAUUCGUAGAUAUUGGGAAGAACACCGGUGGCGAAGGCGGCGACCUGGCUCAUGACUGACGCUGAGGCGCGAAAGCGUGGGGAGCAAACAGGAUUAGAUACCCGUGUAGUCCCUGUCUCUUAUAC